GACGAACGCUGGCGGCGUGCCUAAUACAUGCAAGUUGAGCGCCGAAGGUUGGUACUUGUGCCAACUGGAUGAGCAGCGCACGGGUGAGUAACGCGUGGGGAAUCUGCCUUUGAGCGGGGGACAACAUGUGGAAACGAAUGCUAAUACCGCAUAAAAACUUUAAACACAAGUUUUAAGUUUGAAAGAUGCAAUUGCAUCACUCAAAGAUGAUCCCUCGUUGUAUUAGCUAGUUGGUGAGGUAAAGGCUCACCAAGGCGAUGUUACAUAGCCGACCUGAGAGGGUGAUCGGCCACACUGGGACUGUGACACGGCACAAACUCCUACGGGAGGCAGCAGGAGGGAAACGUCGGCCAUGGACGAAAGUCUGAGCGAGCAACGCCGCGGGAGUGAAGAAGGGUUUCGGGUCGUAAAACUCGGUUGGUAGGGAAGAAAGUUGGUGAGAGUGGAACGCUCAUCGAGUGACGGUAACUACUCAGAAAGCGACGGCUAACUACGUG
Molecule: ribosomal RNA, 497 nt
Filed under: uncultured bacterium
Lineage: Bacteria
Description: partial 16S ribosomal RNA
Rfam family: Bacterial small subunit ribosomal RNA
Source: RNAcentral